AGAGUUUGAUCAUGGCUCAGGAUGAACGCUGGCGGCGUGCUUAACACAUGCAAGUCGAACGAUGAUCCGGUGCUUGCGCCGGGGAUUAGUGGCGAACGGGUGAGUAACACGUGAGUAACCUGCCCUUGACUCUGGGAUAAGCCUGGGAAACUGGGUCUAAUACCGGAUAUGACUCCUCAUCGCAUGGUGGGGGGUGGAAAGCUUUUUGUGGUUUUGGAUGGACUCGCGGCCUAUCAGCUUGUUGGUGGGGUAAUGGCCUACCAAGGCGACGACGGGUAGCCGGCCUGAGAGGGUGACCGGCCACACUGGGACUGAGACACGGCCCAGACUCCUACGGGAGGCAGCAGUGGGGAAUAUUGCACAAUGGGCGAAAGCCUGAUGCAGCGACGCCGCGUGAGGGAUGACGGCCUUCGGGUUGUAAACCUCUUUCAGUAGGGAAGAAGCCCUCUUUGGGGGUGACGGUACUUGCAGAAGAAGCGCCGGCUAACUACGUGCCAGCAGCCGCGGUAAUACGUAGGGCGCAAGCGUUAUCCGGAAUUAUUGGGCGUAAAGAGCUCGUAGGCGGUUUGUCGCGUCUGCUGUGAAAGACCGGGGCUCAACUCCGGUUCUGCAGUGGGUACGGGCAGACUAGAGUGCAGUAGGGGAGACUGGAAUUCCUGGUGUAGCGGUGAAAUGCACA
This 679-nucleotide ribosomal RNA is filed under the name uncultured bacterium. Its description in RNAcentral is "bacterial SSU rRNA". It matches the Rfam family "Bacterial small subunit ribosomal RNA", at positions 8 to 692 of the family's 1533-position model. The record is from RNAcentral.